GGAGAGUAAUACCGUAUGUGCCCUUCGGGGAAAGAUUUAUCGCCUUUGGAUUAGCCCGCGUUAGAUUAGGUAGUUGGUGGGGUAAUGGCCUACCAAGCCUACGAUCUAUAGCUGGUUUUAGAGGAUGAUCAGCAACACUGGGACUGAGACACGGCCCAGACUCCUACGGGAGGCAGCAGUGGGGAAUCUUGGACAAUGGGGGCAACCCUGAUCCAGCCAUGCCGCGUGAGUGAUGAAGGCCUUAGGGUCGUAAAGCUCUUUCGCCUGUGAAGAUAAUGACGGUAGCAGGUAAAGAAACCCCGGCUAACUCCGUGCCAGCAGCCGCGGUAAUACGGAGGGGGUUAGCGUUGUUCGGAAUUACUGGGCGUAAAGCGCACGUAGGCGGAUCGGAAAGUUGGGGGUGAAAUCCCGGGGCUCAACCCCGAACUGCCUCCAAAACUAUCAGUCUAGAGUUCGAGAGAGGUGAGUGGAAUUCCAAGUGUAGAGGUGAAAUUC
RNAcentral lists this ribosomal RNA (495 nucleotides) under uncultured bacterium. RNAcentral describes it as "bacterial SSU rRNA". It matches the Rfam family "Bacterial small subunit ribosomal RNA", at positions 158 to 689 of the family's 1533-position model. The record is from RNAcentral.